Molecule: unclassified non-coding RNA, 348 nt
Filed under: uncultured bacterium
Lineage: Bacteria
Description: contains 16S-23S intergenic spacer region
Source: RNAcentral
AAUCCAAGAAUUUCACCUCUGACAAUCAAAUACGAAUGCCCCCAGCCAUCCCUCUUAAUCUUUACCCCAGCCUCAGAAACCAACACAACAACACCGAAGUUCUGUAUCAUUAUUCCAUGCCCAUGUAUUCAAGGCAGACACCUGCUUGAAACGCUCUAAUUUCCUCAAAGUAAAUGCCUUUGCAAUCACACCACGCAAUGAAGUGCAGCCAUGACCCCCAAGAAGAUGCCAAGAGCGAACCAAAUUCUCACCCAAAGGGCGGAUCGGUCACUCUCAGCAGAAGUCCAACUACGAGCUUUUUAACCGCAGCAAAUUUAAUAUACGCUAUUGGAGCUGGAAUUACCGCUC